UACUGUCUUGUAAUUGGAAUGAUGGCGACCCAAACCCUCGCCAGAGUACCAAUUGGAGGGCAAGUCUGGUGCCAGCAGCCGCGGUAAUUCCAGCUCCAAUAGCGUAUAUUAAACUUGUUGCAGUUAAAAAGCUCGUAGUUGAACUUCGGCCUUGCGCGUCCUGCGGGUCUGCGCGCGGCCUUUGCGUUACUUUGAGAAAAUUAGAGUGUUUCAAGCAGGCUUUCGCCGUGAAUACUUGAGCAUGGAAUAACUGGGCAGGACCUUGGUUCUUCUUUGUUGGUUUUGUACCUGGGUAAUGGUUAAUAGGAAACGGUUGGGGGCAUUCGUAUUUA
This 332-nucleotide ribosomal RNA is filed under the name Babesia ovis. Its description in RNAcentral is "SSU rRNA". It matches the Rfam family "Eukaryotic small subunit ribosomal RNA", at positions 496 to 900 of the family's 1831-position model. The record is from RNAcentral. Lineage: Eukaryota; Apicomplexa; Aconoidasida; Piroplasmida; Babesiidae.